This 467-nucleotide ribosomal RNA is filed under the name uncultured bacterium. Its description in RNAcentral is "partial 16S ribosomal RNA". It matches the Rfam family "Bacterial small subunit ribosomal RNA", at positions 28 to 506 of the family's 1533-position model. The record is from RNAcentral.
GACGAACGCUGGCGGCGUGCUUAACACAUGCAAGUCGAACGGAAAGGCCCUGCUUUUGUGGGGUGCUCGAGUGGCGAACGGGUGAGUAACACGUGAGUAACCUGCCCUUGACUUUGGGAUAACUUCAGGAAACUGGGGCUAAUACCGGAUAGGAGCUCCUGCUGCAUGGUGGGGGUUGGAAAGUUUCGGCGGUUGGGGAUGGACUCGCGGCUUAUCAGCUUGUUGGUGGGGUAGUGGCUUACCAAGGCUUUGACGGGUAGCCGGCCUGAGAGGGUGACCGGCCACAUUGGGACUGAGAUACGGCCCAGACUCCUACGGGAGGCAACAGUGGGGAAUAUUGCACAGUGGGCGGAAGCCUGAUGCAGCAACGCCGCGUGCGGGAUGACGGCCUUCGGGUGGUAAACCGCUUUCGCCUGUGACGAAGCGUGAGUGACGGUAAUGGGUAAAGAAGCACCGGCUAACUACGU